This is a long non-coding RNA of Sinocyclocheilus anshuiensis, 183 nucleotides long. RefSeq lists it as uncharacterized. Lineage: Eukaryota; Metazoa; Chordata; Actinopteri; Cypriniformes; Cyprinidae. The record is from RefSeq and is a predicted model, not a curated record. The transcript has 3 exons.
CUGUGGUGAAACAAGCAGGUGAGGAGUGUUUUUCUUUAUAGGAAAAAACAAAAGGAGACGGCAGAGUUUGUGAGCCAAUCGCACAAUGCCUUCAGAAGAUCAACGAGGCGCUCAACGUGUCCUCCUUGACAGCAAUGGUGUCCAGACUAGAGAUGAUUGCCAAACAAAGAGGAUUGGCGUCAC